This 462-nucleotide ribosomal RNA is filed under the name uncultured bacterium. Its description in RNAcentral is "partial 16S ribosomal RNA". It matches the Rfam family "Bacterial small subunit ribosomal RNA", at positions 28 to 507 of the family's 1533-position model. The record is from RNAcentral.
GACGAACGCUGGCGGCGUGCUUAACACAUGCAAGUCGAACGGAAAGGCCCUUCGGGGUACUCGAGUGGCGAACGGGUGAGUAACACGUGGGUGAUCUGCCCUGCACUUUGGGAUAAGCCUGGGAAACUGGGUCUAAUACCGAAUAGGACCACGCGCUUCACGGUGUGUGGUGGAAAGCUUUUGCGGCGUGGGAUGGGCCCGCGGCCGAUCAGCUUGUUGGUGGGGUCAUGGCCUAACAAGGCGACGACGGGUAGCCGGCCGGAGAGGGUGACCGGCCACACUGGGACUGGGAUACGGCCCAGACUCCUACGGGAGGCAGCAGUGGGGAAUAUUGCACAAUGGGCGCAAGCCUGAUGCAGCGACGCCGCGUGAGGGAUGACGGCCUUCGGGUUGUAAACCUCUUUCAAUAGGGACGAAGCGCAAGUGACGGUACCUAUAGAAGAAGCACCGGCCAACUACGUG